This 190-nucleotide unclassified non-coding RNA is filed under the name uncultured fungus. RNAcentral describes it as "sequence contains ITS1". Lineage: Eukaryota; Fungi. The record is from RNAcentral.
UCGAGUGUUUUAAACCCUUCUUUUGUAAAGGAGGGUUACCUCCCGUCCUUUGCUGAGGGCUCCCCUACGUUUUAGGAGGGGCUUUUUCAGAAAACCUACUGCUUCGGCGUGGUUUAUGCCCGCCGGAACACCCUCAAAAAUUCUGGUCUCCAAAACUUGUUCAGUCCGAGAAAAAUUUUUUAAAGCGAAA